CACAUAUUUUUCAACAUGGAAGGACGUGUGUGUCGGGCUCGAUUAAAAAAAACGUGGAAAUUAAUUAUCUCAUAAUGGUGUUAGUUUCGAAAGGCUAUAUUUAUAUAUGUAGACGCCAGCCUACCAUUUUGGUUGAUGGCGAUGAUCUGAUAUUAUGAUAAGGAAAAAUCUGGACCACGAGAUAACUGUAACCGCGCCAGUUAACUCGUUCAGGAUGUGGUGUAAGUACUGCCUUCAUAUAUUCCUGAUAAAUAAUUUUCAUGAUGUUUAUCGUGAUCCGAGGGCUGAUUGUUUGUGAAUGUUAACUCUUUGACUGAAUUAAUGAACACCCUCUUAUUUAUUAUGGAAAUCUCUACAAUCUUGUAAUAUUUACAUGAUUGUAUUACAGUUUAUGCUGUCUGAGCAUAGAGAAGCACCUGGAACCAUAAAUGGCUUCUUGAAAACAUGCAUCACAUCUCAUGUCUACACAUGUAUCCUGCAUUGAUGAGAAGGGUUGUUCAAAUACACAUCCAUACAUAAUGUAUGUACAUAUAUCCUGCAUUAGUGAAGAGAGUAUACACCAUCCCUGUUAUAGAAUGCAGAAUCUACUGGUGAAGGUAAGAUGCAAAUUGAGGUGAGAC
Ctenocephalides felis (cat flea) is the source of this 620-nucleotide long non-coding RNA. RefSeq lists it as uncharacterized. Lineage: Eukaryota; Metazoa; Arthropoda; Insecta; Siphonaptera; Pulicidae. The transcript has 6 exons. The record is from RefSeq and is a predicted model, not a curated record.